Molecule: long non-coding RNA, 402 nt
Organism: Dermacentor silvarum
Lineage: Eukaryota; Metazoa; Arthropoda; Arachnida; Ixodida; Ixodidae
Exons: 4
Source: RefSeq, a predicted model, not a curated record
GAGAUUCUGUCUGUAUACCACGGGAAACAAGCACAGGCCUGUAUUCUUCUAUAUUCUGGGCAUACAAUCUUUCCUGAAACGCUGAAUACAUAUUCGAGACUCAGCUCUUAGUGCAAAAGGGAGAACCAAAGCUAAACAUGAAUGCAAAGUAUGCUGCCAUCGGCUCUCUUCUGCUUGGUUUUAUUGUCAUCACUGUAGCCGCAGAUCCGCCCUGUCCUCUUGUGAAUUGCGUGUCCGGAUCUAAAGUGGGAUGCUUCAUAACGCAGCAGAGGUGCCAGUGUUCAUGUGUUAAAGGUAUCGACCCUUGUCGGUAUGUGAUCCAGCACUACUCUCGUAACUGCGCCCCAAACCACACACUAAAGUGCAAGACAGAUCUCCAGGCAUGCAAGUGUCGUUGCGGUA